CAUCCAGACUCCUACGGGAGGCAGCAGUGGGGAAUAUUGGGCAAUGGGCGCAAGCCUGACCCAGCAACGCCGCGUGAAGGAAGAAGGCUUUCGGGUUGUAAACUUCUUUUCUCAGGGACGAAGAAAGUGACGGUACCUGAGGAAUAAGCCACGGCUAACUACGUGCCAGCAGCCGCGGUAAUACGUAUGGUGCAAGCGUUAUCCGGAUUUACUGGGUGUAAAGGGAGCGCAGGCGGCACGGCAAGCCUGAUGUGAAAGCCCGCGGCCCACCCGCGGGACUGCAUUGGGAACUACCGGGCUGGAGUGCCGGAGAGGUAGGCGGAAUUCCUAGUGUAGCGGUGAAAUGCGUAGAUAUUAGGAGGAACACCAGUGGCGAAGGCGGCUUACUGGACUGUAACUGACGUUGAGGCUCGAAAGCGUGGGGAGCACACAGGAUUAGAUACCCCAGUAC
Molecule: ribosomal RNA, 451 nt
Filed under: uncultured bacterium
Lineage: Bacteria
Description: partial 16S ribosomal RNA
Rfam family: Bacterial small subunit ribosomal RNA
Source: RNAcentral